This 253-nucleotide ribosomal RNA is filed under the name uncultured bacterium. Its description in RNAcentral is "partial 16S ribosomal RNA". It matches the Rfam family "Bacterial small subunit ribosomal RNA", at positions 524 to 776 of the family's 1533-position model. The record is from RNAcentral.
UACGAAGGGGGCUAGCGUUGCUCGGAAUCACUGGGCGUAAAGGGUGCGUAGGCGGGUCUUUAAGUCCGAGGUGAAAUCUCCCGGCUCAACUGGGAGGGGUCUUCGGAUACUGGCGGACUUGAGGAGUGCAGAGGUGAGUGGAAUUCUCGGUGUAGUGGUGAAAUGCGUAGAUAUCGAGAGGAACACCAGCGGCGAAGGCGGCUCACUGGGCACCACCUGACGCUGAGGCGCGAAAGCGUGGGGAGCGAACCGG